Long non-coding RNA from Haplochromis burtoni (Burton's mouthbrooder), 385 nucleotides. RefSeq lists it as uncharacterized. The transcript has 2 exons. The record is from RefSeq and is a predicted model, not a curated record. NCBI's taxonomy places the organism in Eukaryota, Metazoa, Chordata, Actinopteri, Cichliformes, Cichlidae.
CAAGGCGUGUGUGAUGUUUGUGAUGUUUCCCUGUGUGCAGCUUAGUUCACGGUGACGGACUCGCAGCUCAGACGGUGAAUACGGCACCGCAACGAGGCCGUGUUCGCCAUAUUGUGUUAGUUUGUGCGAUCACGUUUGGCACAACACCAGAAUGUAGACACUCUGAGCUCCGGACGGGACUUUAUCUUCACGGUGCUGCCAGAGGGAGAGACGCACUCAAUCAUUACUUGUUAUAAACAGGACUGUUUUGGAUUACACACAACGACCUGUAGAAAGUGUGUGUGAGCUGAGCAGCAUGGAUCAGUGUGAGGACAGAGAGGAGGGAGCCCCUCCCUCUAAAAGCACUCUGUGUGGGGAACAUGAGAGCCAGACCAAAGCUCAGAGG